GAGGUCAGCUAAAUGAAAGGGAAAGAUUCUGCAGCUUCAGUUAUGUUCCUCCCACGCCCCCUUCUCCUGGGAUUUGCUAUUGUUUUUUCUGAUCUGCUUACCUGCCUAAUUCCAAAUGUUAAUGUAUGUAGGAGUUUGGUUUAUGAAAAAGAUGACCUUUUAAAUCAGUAAUAGAGAGAUGGAUAAUUUAACACAUGCUGCUAAAUCUAUACUUUACCCCUUAUAUCAGGAUAAUUUCAAGGGAUCAAAGAUUUAAAUAUUUUUUUAAAAGAUAGUAAAAGAAAUCAUAGAGGUUGCACCUUUUUGUACUUUUAAAAAUUUUGCACCAUGGGAUCAAGAAUCAAUUCGUUUUUUAAAGAUUACCUAAUUGACCUUAAAAAUUUCCCUCUCCUUUCCCACAAAUAUGUGGCUAAAUAUAAUGC
RNAcentral lists this long non-coding RNA (422 nucleotides) under Bos taurus (domestic cattle). Its description in RNAcentral is "long non-coding RNA NONBTAT015176". Lineage: Eukaryota; Metazoa; Chordata; Mammalia; Artiodactyla; Bovidae. The record is from RNAcentral.